This 288-nucleotide ribosomal RNA is filed under the name Klebsiella pneumoniae. RNAcentral describes it as "partial 16S ribosomal RNA". It matches the Rfam family "Bacterial small subunit ribosomal RNA", at positions 517 to 805 of the family's 1533-position model. The record is from RNAcentral. Lineage: Bacteria; Pseudomonadati; Pseudomonadota; Gammaproteobacteria; Enterobacterales; Enterobacteriaceae.
GCGGUAAUACGGAGGAUGCGAGCGUUAUCCGGAUUUAUUGGGUUUAAAGGGUGCGUAGGCGGACUGUCAAGUCAGCGGUAAAAUUGCGGGGCUCAACCCCGGCCCGCCGUUGAAACUGACGGUCUUGAGUGGGCGAGAAGUAUGCGGAAUGCGUGGUGUAGCGGUGAAAUGCAUAGAUAUCACGCAGAACUCCGAUUGCGAAGGCAGCAUACCGGCGCCCAACUGACGCUGAGGCACGAAAGCGUGGGUAUCGAACAGGAUUAGAUACCCUGGUAGUCCACGCAGUAA